This 446-nucleotide ribosomal RNA is filed under the name uncultured bacterium. Its description in RNAcentral is "bacterial SSU rRNA". It matches the Rfam family "Bacterial small subunit ribosomal RNA", at positions 329 to 792 of the family's 1533-position model. The record is from RNAcentral.
GCCCAGACUCCUACGGGAGGCAGCAGUGGGGAAUAUUGCACAAUGGGGAAACCCUGAUGCAGCAACGCCGCGUGAGUGAAGAAGUAUUUCGGUAUGUAAAGCUCUAUCAGCAGGGAAGAAGAAGGACGGUACCUGACUAAGAAGCCCCGGCUAACUACGUGCCAGCAGCCGCGGUAAUACGUAGGGGGCGAGCGUUAUCCGGAUUUACUGGGUGUAAAGGGAGCGUAGACGGUUAAUCAAGUCUGAAGUGAAAGCCCGCGGCUCAACUGCGGAACGGCUUUGGAAACUGAGUAACUGGAGUGCUGGAGGGGCAGGCGGAAUUCCUGGUGUAGCGGUGAAAUGCGUAGAUAUUAGGAGGAACACCAGUGGCGAAGGCGGCUUGCUGGACAGUAACUGACGUUGAGGCUCGAAAGCGUGGGGAGCAAACAGGAUUAGAUACCCCAGUA